Brassica oleracea var. oleracea is the source of this 1917-nucleotide RNA transcript. RefSeq lists it as uncharacterized. The record is from RefSeq and is a predicted model, not a curated record. Lineage: Eukaryota; Viridiplantae; Streptophyta; Magnoliopsida; Brassicales; Brassicaceae. The transcript is spliced from 4 exons.
UGCAUUGGUAAUGCUUUGUCCACAAAAUUCCAAAUCUAAUCUAAAAAAAUCUAUGACGAUACCGCUUCACCUCCGCUUCGGAGCGCCGGAGUAACGUUAUGUAAUUAUGACAUUCAAUGGAGGAAACCCUCUAUGUCCUCUUCAACGCAUCUUCAGUUCGUCACUGGAAGUGGGAGCCCUCUCCAAAUCCCUCCAUUCCAGCGACCUCAUAGAUCCCAAAAGAUACUUCUAAUUUCUAUUUAUUUUUUCCCUUCACUGAUUUCGUACUUUUUUAUAGAUGCUCACAGUCAGUCUCUGCCAAAAGUAACCGGCUCAAUACCUUCAAACACAUUCUGAAGGAAGGAUCUCCUAUGAGAUGAGAGUUUUUUAUGUCACCAGAAGCAACCAAAACUUCAGAUUUGUCGACAGCCCUGUUGCUAUUAGAUUCACGGAGAUACAAAAUUUGAUGAGAUAGCAGAAACCAUGAACCCUCUCCCGGUGGAACUUUUCAGGUUUAGUGAUUACGAACAACUCAUGUUCUUGACUAAUACAAACACGGAUUUGUCAGAUAUUGCUGGUGAAGCGAGGGAUAUUAAAACCAUUUACAAUUAAGAAACCCAAAGCACUCAACGUAUUAUGCCUAAUAUAAGAAGUCACAGGUCCCCUUUAUUUUGUUAACCUUUUUAAGACCAAGGUUAGUUUUAAUAUAUCAAAAUGUUUUGCAUUUCAUCUCUUCAACUAUGCAGGAACACCACUGUUUGUCUUAUUGUUUUUGAAGGACUUACCAUGCUUCUCCAUAAUAAAUUAGUAACGUCUGGUGUUGAGCCUUUAAUGAUGAACAUCAACCUUAAAUUAGUAGGAGGUAGACUUAUAUCUCCACACUCAUGUUCUUUGCAAUUUCUAAUAAGUUAGUUUUUAAAGCUUGGAUGUACGCAAGAAACUCAUAUAGAGCAAGUUUUCUGGCCUCCUCAUCACGUCGUUUGUACUUUGACCAUCUCUCCUUAGUGGAAUCUCUUUCAUAUAUUAACCCAUGCCAUUUGUUUCUUUUCCACCCCAUUUGUUACUGAGUACAGACGGUCAGAGUUACCUUAAAGGGUUAGGAGUUAGCGCAGAAAACCCCUCUGACACAUUCCUUACCCUAGGAUCUGUAGCAGUGAGUAAGGUUGUUCAUCUACUUCUACAAAAUAUGGAGAUGUCAAAGAAGAUUGAAUCUAUAACAGUAUCAGAGCCCAAUGACUAUAUCCUGAAUUCACCGCCUCAGUGUAUGUUACUUUUGACGCUGAGAUGACAAAAUUGACCAAUAUUUGUGCUUCACUGGUCAUGGUAUCAGUCACCGGGUAACCCAUUAUAUCUAUGUAUAUCUUCUCAUGAUUUUUGACGUUGUUUACUUUGACAUUUUGUGAUACAGGACCCACAUGUCAGGGCCCUCCCACAAGGCCUCCAAGAUAUUGUAGGCAAGAUAUUCACUUUCCGCUUUACAAAUUCAAUCUCUCUUUUAAACAUCACUCUUUCCCUGUCUCACGAAUUUCAGUCGUCACCAGCGCCCAUCAAUAGCUAAUUUUGCGGUCCAGUGUUCUGUGACCAGUAGAAGGUUCAAUAGUCAUGGUAUGAUUGAAGAAAACAGAGGCGAGGCAGCUCUACUACGAGCUCGACCUGUUGUUCUUGAAAUGACUGUGGAGGAGCCAACAGUUACAGAGGAUGGACACUCUGUAAAGAAGGCACGCGUUGAGUAAAAUCUCAAGGGAGUCUAUGACCCUCAUGUCGUCGACCACAGCUACGCUGGAGUUUUCUCAAAUUUAGCAUAAUAAUGAAAUAGGACUACAACUCAUUCCCACCCGUUAUGUUAGGGUCUUUGUUUUUUUUUUCAAAAUUUCGUGUGUCUCAAGUAAGCUCUCUUUUUAUAAGUAUAUAAAUAACAACUCCUACUUUCCGAACUCA